Molecule: RNA transcript, 2252 nt
Organism: Musa acuminata AAA Group (dessert banana)
Lineage: Eukaryota; Viridiplantae; Streptophyta; Magnoliopsida; Zingiberales; Musaceae
Gene name: glycosyltransferase BC10
Exons: 4
Source: RefSeq, a predicted model, not a curated record
GUUCGACUCGGCUUAUCCUGUGCCGCCCGCGACGAGGAAACAUUGAGAGCGAUCGAUCGAUCGAUCGAUGGGGACGCCAACGAGAUGAGUUCUUUUUACCCUUAACCUUCCCUCCUUCCUCCACGCGCUUCCAAUUCUUCGGCCAUUGAUUCGUCCGUUGCGAGGGCUGGGCUUCGGACAACCCUAGAUUCGCUGCAUAGGGAGGGGCCGGUGGUCGAAGCGAGACAGGACCAGGAGGAGGCUUUUGGAUCGUUCUCCAGGUAAUUCGAAAUUGGUGAUUGAGAAAAGAGAGAUGAAGCCGAGGAACAGGCCAGAUGAAGAGGAGGCUGAAUACUCCACUUGGACCCCAAGAAACAGCUGGUCCAUCGGGUUGAUAAAGUUUGUCUCGUUUCUGGUCAUUUUCAUGGCGGGAAUUAUCAUAGGCUUGUCAUUAAGCGCGCAUUUCACGAGGUCAUUCAAUUCACAGACCGAUAUCUUCUUUCCGAAGACAAUGUACACCACCAACUGCGACAAGGCAAGCUUGAGCUUCAAGGGUUUCUUGAGUCCGGCACAUUUGAUGCAUAGCAUGUCAGACAAAGAGCUCUUCUGGAGGGUGUCCAUGGCACCUAAGAUGAAAGAGUAUCCAUUUGAGAGGGUGCCGAAGGUGGCUUUUAUGUUCAUGACCAGGGGGCCCUUGCCAUUAGCAAGGCUGUGGGACAGGUUCUUCAAAGGCCAUGAGGGGCUGUAUUCAGUUUACGUGCACACAAUCCCAGAUUACAAACUCAACGCACCAGAAAGCUCAGCUUUCUAUGGCCGGCAGAUCCCCAGCGAGGAGGUUUCAUGGGGAUCAGUGACGCUAGUGGAUGCAGAGAAGCGUCUCUUGGCUAAUGCUUUGCUGGAUUUCUCCAAUGAACGCUUUAUUCUUCUCUCCGAGAGCUGCAUUCCUGUGUACAAUUUCCCUACUGUCUAUGAGUACCUCAUAAACUCUGCUCACAGCUUCGUCGAAUCCUAUGAUGAGAAUUCACAACAAGGUCGUGGGCGUUAUAGCCGUCACAUGUUUCCCACAAUCAAGCUCCACCAGUGGAGAAAAGGAUCUGAGUGGUUUGAACUCAACCGCGAAUUGGCUGUAAAUGUAGUAGCAGACUACAAGUACUACUCCAUUUUUAGUAAAUACUGCAAGCCUUCAUGCUAUCCUGAUGAGCACUAUAUACCGACUUUCUUAAACAUGUUCCAUGGGUCCCUAAAUGCAAAUCGAACCAUCACCUGGGUUGAUUGGUCAAGGGGAGGGCCCCAUCCAGCAACAUAUGGUGCUCCAAAUAUUACACCUGAUUUUAUACAGUCCAUUAGAAACAAUGGAACAUCAUGUAUGUAUAACUCGAGGCCGACGUCUGUAUGUUUCCUCUUUGCCAGGAAGUUUGCUCCUAGUUCCUUGGAUCCUCUACUCAACCUCACUUCAACAGUAAUGGGAUUCUGAGGUCUUUCUUCUACCUGUCUUUCUUCAUACAGAAUAGCUCAGAGAGGUGAUUAUUUUUUAGUUACUUCGUGACGUUUUGCUCCUUCUAUGUAUGGAUUAGAUAUGGCAGCUAUACUGGAAAUAUGGUUGAAGUUGAAAUCUUGUCCCAGCUGUCCAAGUUGGACACUAACAAUGAAAAAGGCCUUCUUGAAAUGGAUUGGAUGAUAGUCUCUAUGCAAAGGUAUCUAUUGAAGAUGCUGAAAGCAUAUGUUCAUAUGCCUACUGAAACAGUUGCAACACUCUUCAAGUUGAUCAGGGGCAGUUUGACUUCAUCGAUAGGCGAUACUUGUGUAUACAAAUCUGCUUAUGGAAUCUUUUUGUAUAUAGCCCUUUGUUGUUCUUUAUCUUUAUCUCUAAUCAGUCAACCCUUUUAUCAUUCCUUGUUCUUUUAUUCCUUAUUGGCUUGUAAGCUUACUCUGUCAACAAGAUUUCUUGAUGGAACAUGAAGAAAGAGGUCUGCCUUUGCCAACGACUUCAAGGAAAUCCACAUGGACCAGCUCAGUUGCCAGAAGUCAUGAUGAGGUUGACUAAAGAUGGCCUUGCUUAAAGAUGAACCGGAAAACAGAGUGUAGGAUAAUAUUAACCUGGAAAAGUCAACGUUGUGAUUUUUCAUUACAAUUUUGUACAGGUGAAUAAAGCAGAAGUGUGAAUGUUGUGUUGCAGGGUCAAGCAAUGGACCGAGAAAAAGCAAGACAACAUUUUUGUAGUAUAAACUUUGGAUUGAGGCUUCUUUUGGAAUCAUCACUAGAAUGGAAGUAUA